This 449-nucleotide ribosomal RNA is filed under the name uncultured bacterium. Its description in RNAcentral is "bacterial SSU rRNA". It matches the Rfam family "Bacterial small subunit ribosomal RNA", at positions 28 to 480 of the family's 1533-position model. The record is from RNAcentral.
GAUGAACGCUAGCGGCAGGCUUAACACAUGCAAGUCGAGGGGUAGAGGAAGCUUGCUUCCUUGAGACCGGCGCACGGUGCGUAACGCGUAUGCAAUCUACCUUAUACAGGGGGAUAGCCCAGAGAAAUUUGGAUUAAUACCCCAUAGUAUAAUUGAAUGGCAUCAUUUAAUUAUUAAAGUUCCAACGGUAUAAGAUGAGCAUGCGUCCAUUAGCUAGUUGGUGUGGUAACGGCACACCAAGGCGACGAUGGGUAGGGGUCCUGAGAGGAGAUCCCCCACACUGGUACUGAGACACGGACCAGACUCCUACGGGAGGCAGCAGUGAGGAAUAUGGUCAAUGGGCGCAAGCCUGAACCAGCCAUGCCGCGUGCAGGAUGACGGUCCUAUGGAUUGUAAACUGCUUUUGUACAGGAAGAAACACUCCCUCGUGAGGGAGCUUGACGGUACUG